This 83-nucleotide transfer RNA is filed under the name Marseillevirus LCMAC202. Its description in RNAcentral is "tRNA-Leu". It matches the Rfam family "tRNA". Rfam says of the family: Transfer RNA (tRNA) molecules are approximately 80 nucleotides in length. Their secondary structure includes four short double-helical elements and three loops (D, anti-codon, and T loops). Lineage: Varidnaviria; Bamfordvirae; Nucleocytoviricota; Megaviricetes; Pimascovirales; Marseilleviridae. The record is from RNAcentral.
AGUGUCGUAGCAAAGUGGUUAACUGCGUCAGACUUAAGCCAUCUGAUCCUUCGGGUUCGUGGGUUCGAAUCCCACCGACACUA